RNA transcript from Mus pahari (shrew mouse), 833 nucleotides. It is a transcript of the gene named urotensin 2B, with no coding region annotated. The transcript is spliced from 5 exons. The record is from RefSeq and is a predicted model, not a curated record. NCBI's taxonomy places the organism in Eukaryota, Metazoa, Chordata, Mammalia, Rodentia, Muridae.
AGGCAGGCUCGCUCGGCUGCACUCCACGGCCAUUGAAGUAUCUGUCUUGACUUGAAAUUUUGAUUUCUCUAUUAGGACAGGAAGAGAUUUUUAACAUGAAGGUCUUCUCAACCUCUCUCUGCUGUGGACUCCUGACUUUCUUGUCUGUAAUGAGCCUUUUAAAGUCUGUAUAUGGACGGCCACAUCUGAGCUCAGGACAUGAAUUGUUUCCAGCUAAAGAACAUGCAGCUCAGGAGAAGUUGACCCAAAAUCUUGGUUUCCAGAGGCCCUUCCACGCUGGUGAAUGUGGAUCUGCCCAGGAAAAUGGAAGAACUUAGACAGCUAAAGAAGUUGAGAGAAUGGGUUAUGGAAGCAAAGAACACUGGGCUGUCCAAUGUUUUAAACAAUUUAUCCUCUUCCCACACUAAUAAACGAGCUUGCUUUUGGAAAUACUGUGUCUGAGAUAUUUCUGAAUAUACAGAAGAAAAGAAAACCAGAAAAAUUACAUAUAUAUGUAACAUAUGUAUACACAUAAUAUACAUAUUAAAGUUUACUUCUGUUUCAAGCUUUAAGAAACUGGCCCUUUUUCUGCACAUCAUUUUUCUCACUUUGUGAACCUGGUCCUCCCUGGGUUACGGCUUACUUAAUGCUCAUUUGGUGAACAAUUGCACUGACUAAACUGUGGAAUGGAACUGUCAUCAAAAUGGCUUUGGUGAUAAAACUGGGGGGAUUGAGCUGUUGUAUGCUUCCUUGAAGUCCAUUGUCCUCUCUCAAUGUUUUGUUGUUGGCUGUCAAUAAAAUAUAUUUUAAAAGGCAUCUCAGAAAGUUAAAAUAAAUCACAUUGUUUCAACUCA